GUACACUCCUGCGGGAGGCAGCAGUGGGGAAUAUUGCACAAUGGGCGCAAGCCUGAUGCAGCGACGCCGCGUGGGGGAUGAAGGCCUUCGGGUUGUAAACUCCUUUCGCUAGGGACGAAGCUUUUUUGUGACGGUACCUAGAUAAGAAGCACCGGCUAACUACGUGCCAGCAGCCGCGGUAAUACGUAGGGUGCGAGCGUUGUCCGGAAUUACUGGGCGUAAAGGGCUCGUAGGUGGUUUGUCGCGUCGUCUGUGAAAUUCUGGGGCUUAACUCCGGGCGGGCAGGCGAUACGGGCAUAACUUGAGUGCUGUAGGGGUAACUGGAAUUCCUGGUGUAGCGGUGAAAUGCGCAGAUAUCAGGAGGAACACCGAUGGCGAAGGCAGGUUACUGGGCAGUUACUGACGCUGAGGAGCGAAAGCAUGGGUAGCGAACAGGAUUAGAUACCCUGGUAGUCCCA
This 458-nucleotide ribosomal RNA is filed under the name uncultured organism. RNAcentral describes it as "partial 16S ribosomal RNA". It matches the Rfam family "Bacterial small subunit ribosomal RNA", at positions 331 to 797 of the family's 1533-position model. The record is from RNAcentral.